GCGUGUGUUACCUUCGCAUGGACGAAGUCUGACGGAGCAACGCCGCGUGAGUGAUGAAGGCUUUCGGGUCGUAAAACUCUGUUGUUAGGGAAGAACAAGUGCUAGUUGAAUAAGCUGGCACCUUGACGGUACCUAACCAGAAAGCCACGGCUAACUACGUGCCAGCAGCCGCGGUAAUACGUAGGUGGCAAGCGUUAUCCGGAAUUAUUGGGCGUAAAGCGCGCGCAGGUGGUUUCUUAAUCUGAUGUGAAAGCCCACGGCUCAACCGUGGAGGGUCAUUGGAAACUGGGAGACUUGAGUGCAGAAGAGGAAAGUGGAAUUCCAUGUGUAGCGGUGAAAUGCGUAGAGAUAUGGAGGAACACCAGUGGCGAAGGCGACUUUCUGGUCUGUAACUGACACUGAGGCGCGAAAGCGUGGGGAGCAAACAGGAUUAGAUACCCUGGUAGUCCACGCCGUAAACGAUGAGUGCUAAGUGUUAGAGGGUUUCCGCCCUUUAGUGCUGAAGUUAACGCAUUAAACACUCCCCCUGGGAAGUACGGCCGCAAGGCUGAAACUCAAAGGAAUUGACGGGGGCCCGCACCGCGGUGGAGCAUGUGGGAUACUUCGAAACGACGCGACGAACCUUUCUAGUCCAGACAUCCUCUGCAAAACACUAAAGAUAGGGCUUCCCCCUCGGAAGCAAGUAAAAGGGGUGACGGAUUGCCGUCAGCUCGAGGAGAGAGAGGAGUUUAAUCACGCAGCAAACUCCACUCAUUGACCUUAGCUGUUUCAUAGUUGACGACACAAAAGCGACAGAAAAGACAAAGGAAAAAGUACGAAGCCGUAGAUCCAAUGGACCUCACGACCCGCCGUCUGCGUUUCUCAUAUGUAUCGAUAUGUAUUACCAGACUAUAGACUUGCGAAUAUAUUUUCUUUGGGUACUCGUGUGUUAAUCGGUGGCUGAGCCAAUCCUCC
Molecule: ribosomal RNA, 954 nt
Filed under: Bacillus sp. JZHS24
Lineage: Bacteria; Bacillati; Bacillota; Bacilli; Caryophanales; Bacillaceae
Description: bacterial SSU rRNA
Rfam family: Bacterial small subunit ribosomal RNA
Source: RNAcentral